Molecule: ribosomal RNA, 507 nt
Filed under: Sporosarcina sp. BF.139
Lineage: Bacteria; Bacillati; Bacillota; Bacilli; Caryophanales; Caryophanaceae
Also listed under: 4 other names
Description: bacterial SSU rRNA
Rfam family: Bacterial small subunit ribosomal RNA
Source: RNAcentral
CCCUGGCUCAGGACGAACGCUGGCGGCGUGCCUAAUACAUGCAAGUCGAGCGGAAUGAUGAAGAAGCUUGCUUCUUCUGAUUUUAGCGGCGGACGGGUGAGUAACACGUGGGCAACCUACCUUGUAGAUUGGGAUAACUCCGGGAAACCGGGGCUAAUACCGAAUAAUCCAUUUUGCUUCAUGGCAAGAUGUUGAAAGGCGGCUUCGGCUGUCACUACGAGAUGGGCCCGCGGCGUAUUAGCUAGUUGGUAGGGUAAUGGCCUACCAAGGCGACGAUACGUAGCCGACCUGAGAGGGUGAUCGGCCACACUGGGACUGAGACACGGCCCAGACUCCUACGGGAGGCAGCAGUAGGGAAUCUUCCACAAUGGACGAAAGUCUGAUGGAGCAACGCCGCGUGAGUGAAGAAGGUUUUCGGAUCGUAAAACUCUGUUGUAAGGGAAGAACACGUACGAGAGUAACUGCUCGUACCUUGACGGUACCUUAUUAGAAAGCCACGGCUAACUA